This 428-nucleotide ribosomal RNA is filed under the name uncultured bacterium. RNAcentral describes it as "bacterial SSU rRNA". It matches the Rfam family "Bacterial small subunit ribosomal RNA", at positions 355 to 776 of the family's 1533-position model. The record is from RNAcentral.
UCGGGAAUCUUGCGCAAUGGGCGAAAGCCUGACGCAGCAACACCGUGUGGGCGACGAAGGCCUUCGGGUCGUAAAGCCCUGUUGUUGGGGACGAAGGACGAAGGGUUAAUAGCCCCUAGUCUGACGGUACCCUUCGAGGAAGCCCCGGCUAACUACGUGCCAGCAGCCGCGGUAAUACGUAGGGGGCGAGCGUUGUCCGGAAUUAUUGGGCGUAAAGAGCGUGUAGGCGGUUCGGUAAGUCUGCCGUGAAAACCUGGGGCUCAACCCCGGGCGUGCGGUGGAUACUGCCGGGCUAGAGGAUGGUAGAGGCGAGUGGAAUUCCCGGUGUAGCGGUGAAAUGCGCAGAUAUCGGGAGGAACACCAGUAGCGAAGGCGGCUCGCUGGGCCAUUCCUGACGCUGAGACGCGAAAGCAUGGGGAGCGAACAGG